Long non-coding RNA from Salvia miltiorrhiza (redroot sage), 565 nucleotides. RefSeq lists it as uncharacterized. NCBI's taxonomy places the organism in Eukaryota, Viridiplantae, Streptophyta, Magnoliopsida, Lamiales, Lamiaceae. The transcript is spliced from 2 exons. The record is from RefSeq and is a predicted model, not a curated record.
GUUGUACAGAGCUCUUACUCACUCAUUUAUAAAUGAUAAUUUAAUACGAAUAUUUUUACAUUGAUAAAACUUAAUAUUCUGUUGAGGAUUACUCUUUGCUUUUGAUGUUCUUUGAUGGUGGCCUCUGUAGUCGUUUUUGGUUUUGCUAAAUCUUCAUUAAUUUAUUCUGGUUUUGCUAUAUAUUAUGCUGAUUUUUUUUAAGGGAUAAUACUCUGCUUUCUUAUUCAAGAAGAAGAAGAGGAUCUGCAAAUCAUGGAGCUGCCAUUAAUAUUAUCAGGCUCAUUUAUGCUAGCAAGCUACUUGGUGAUGACAAGACUACCAAAGGCUACAAAUCGAGGACAAUCGGACUUAUGAUUGAAAGAAUAUUGAUAAAGUUCAUGUUGAGUGGACAAAUCUCUUGUUGGAACACAUAUAGUAUGAUAGAUUUUCGUUUUAGCUAUAAGAUACUUGCUACUUGCAAUGUCGAAUCGAAAUAAUUGCAAUGAUAUGUACUUGUUACUUGGUAUAUUCGGAUGAUAAUGUAUAAUUGUUUUGGAUGAAAUAUAAUAUGUUAUUGAUGGUUAUA